UAUUGCGCAAUGGGCGAAAGCCUGACGCAGCGACGCCGCGUGAGGGAUGAAGGUUUUCGGAUCGUACACCUCUGUCAGAAGGGCAGAAAGUGCGUGGGGCUAAUCAGCCGCGUAUUGACGGUCCCUUCAAAGGAAGCACCGGCUAACUCCGUGCCAGCAGACGCGGUCAUACGGAGGGUGCGAGCGUUAACCGGAAUUACUGGGCGUAAAGCGCACGUAGGCUGUUGUGUAAGUCAGGGGUGAAAUCCCACGGCUCAACCGUGGAACUGCCCUUGAUACUGCAUGACUGGAAUCCGGGAGAGGGUGGCGGAAUUCCAGGUGUAGGAGUGAAAUCCGUAGAUAUCUGGAGGAACAUCAGUGGCGAAGGCGGCCACCUGGACCGGUAUUGACGCUGAGGUGCGAAAGCGUGGGGAGCAAACAGG
RNAcentral lists this ribosomal RNA (422 nucleotides) under uncultured bacterium. Its description in RNAcentral is "bacterial SSU rRNA". It matches the Rfam family "Bacterial small subunit ribosomal RNA", at positions 362 to 776 of the family's 1533-position model. The record is from RNAcentral.